UACGUAGGGACCGAGCGUUGUCCGGAAUCAUUGGGCGUAAAGAGCGUGUAGGCGGCCAGAUAGGUCCGUUGUGAAAACUGGAGGCUUAACCUCCAGCGGUCGAUGGAAACCAUCUGGCUAGAGUCCGGAAGAGGAGAGUGGAAUUCCUGGUGUAGCGGUGAAAUGCGCAGAUAUCAGGAAGAACACCCGUGGCGAAGGCGGCUCUCUGGGACGGUACUGACGCUGAGACGCGAAAGCGUGGGGAGCGAACAGG
This 253-nucleotide ribosomal RNA is filed under the name uncultured bacterium. RNAcentral's name for it is "partial 16S ribosomal RNA". It matches the Rfam family "Bacterial small subunit ribosomal RNA", at positions 524 to 776 of the family's 1533-position model. The record is from RNAcentral.